CAGUCCUGAGGACUUCUCUUGGACAGCCAGCUGCUGAUGGUCCAAUAUUCUCUUAAUCAUGCUCCACAUCAAGGAACAUACUUGUUUAAAAACAAAUUCAGAUGUGGAAGCAAGAUGAAGAUGUGGAUUUUCCAUUUGUUAUAUUUUGGAGAUGAGGUUUCAUGUUCAGUAAACCAGAGAUCACAGUGGAAGACCCAUCACAGAAUUCAUGAUUUGUUCACUGGGGAAAACCCUUAUGUGCCAGAGACAGGAAGACUUCAGCCUGCAAUAAUUCAUUACUUAAAUGAGAAAAUGAUUCUAUAGACCAAAAGUAUCAAAAUAAAAAAGGACAUUUUAGGUUU
Vidua chalybeata is the source of this 341-nucleotide long non-coding RNA. RefSeq lists it as uncharacterized. Lineage: Eukaryota; Metazoa; Chordata; Aves; Passeriformes; Viduidae. The record is from RefSeq and is a predicted model, not a curated record. The transcript has 2 exons.